This is a non-coding RNA of Macaca mulatta (Rhesus monkey), 1329 nucleotides long. NCBI's taxonomy places the organism in Eukaryota, Metazoa, Chordata, Mammalia, Primates, Cercopithecidae. The record is from RefSeq and is a predicted model, not a curated record.
CACUUUUCUGCUUUAAAAAAUUUCUUUAAAACAUAUAAAUUUAUACUAAUAAUAAAUCAAUUAUUUAAUAACCAUGAAAUAUAUCUCAAGGAAAUAUAACCUUAAAAAGACAUCAUAAUAUUAACGUUAUGACAUUAAGAACUAAUAAUCAAGUGAGAAUUGGUAAUUUAAUCUCAAAUUUUUGCAUCUAAGAUUAAUUUUCCUCUACUGUACUACAGUAAAUUUUUACAGUAUAGUAAGUUUUUCAUAGUAGUCAUCCCUCAGUAUCCAUGAGGGAUUGGUUCCAGUAUCUUCUGUGAAUACCAAAAUCUGCAAAUGCUCAAAAGUUCCUCAUAUAAAAUGCACAAUACCUGCAUAUAGCCCUAUGCACUAUAUAGUACUUUAAAUCAUCUCUAGAUUACUUACAAUGCCUAUACAAUGUAAGUGCUAUGUAAACAGUUGCUAUACUGUAUUGUUUAUGUAAUAAUGACAAGAAAACAUGCCUGUACAUGUUCCGUACAGACUCAAUUUUUUUUUUCCAAAUAUUUUCACUCAGCAUUUGGUUGAAUCCAUGAUGCAGAACCCAUGUAUGUGAAAGGCUGACUGUAUCUACUUUACAAUUAAAAUGUAAAUGUCCCUUGGCUUAGUGCUAAUGUAAGAAGAAGGAGCAAUUUUAAAAAACGCAAUUCUUCUUAAUUUCAUACCUAAAUAUACUUAGUUAUAUAAUAACUGAAUCCAAAAAGCCAAAAUGACACUGCUCCUUUCACCUCCUAAAAUGACAAAUUUUCAAAUGCUAAUACCACUGGAAUCCAAGAUUUUGAAGAACAGCAGAGGAAUUUGGUAGAAAUGAGGUCACAAUUUUAGCUAAAGUCACAGCUUUUAAUAAAUGUUGACUGAAAUAUCCAGUUUAAAAGACUGUUAGUCAGUGUACUGUACCAUGUGACACUGAAGUAUGGUGACUCUGGCUUUAUGGAGUUAGGCUCCUUACUUUAUAACCACAUUUAGUAUGUGAUUCACACUUCUAUGGCACUGCAAUUACUCUUAACUUUCUUCUUGAUCUGAACUAUUGAGCAGAAAGCAAAAUUCACUUUGAGGAAAAUCAGUUUUGGAUACAAGAUUACAAUGAGACAUAAAACUGAGAAACAUCUACACUGCUAUGGAAAAAAGAUAAACCUACAGCAAACAGUAAAAGUUCUUCAGAGAAGAUAAGUGUCUGUUCAAGGUCUCUGAGCUGGUAAUUCACUAGCCAAGACUAGAAUAUAAGUGUUUGAUCUCCAGUUCAGCAUUCUUUAUACUAUACUGUCACCUUGUGUGAUUAUAACACUAUUUUGAAUAAACUGAAAUUUCAUA